AGCGGCGUUCGAGUUCUCUCUCCGCUCUCGGCGCCGGCCAGAAGGUUCGUCCCGCAGGUAACGGCCCACGCGAAGGAGCCGGGAGUUUGGGCUCGUGAUGAGCAAGAGGAAACAGAGGUCCCUGGCAGGUCCAGAGAUUAGGUAACUAAGUCUCAGAGAAUCGAACUCACUUGCCAUAGCUGAGACGUGGUCAGGUCAGAAUUGGACGCCAAGUUUGUGCUCCUAACGCUACACCAGCAACCUACCGGAGGGCCUUGUAGGAGCUUUUGGCUGAUCACCGCUUGGUGGUUCUUCAUUCGUUCACUUAGAUAGUGAGCGGCAUCUGUACCAGGCCUACUCAACACUUGGGAAGCAAUAGGAUCAAGAGCCCGUCCUUGCUCAGUGGAUCUCACUUUCAGGAGAGCUAAGCAGCAAGUGAACAGGGGACAGCACUGAGUUUGUAGAUGCUAAGAAGAAAGUGAACAGGAUGCUGAGGUAAGAGAAUAACUGGUUGUGGGGACUUUUCCUAGUAGAUGAUCAGGGAAGGUCUCCCAUGAGGUAACAUUGAAGCUGAGACCUCUGAGGAAUGAGAAGGAGCUGUCUGUUGGAAAUCUGAGGAGGAGAUUUCUGGGCAUAUGGAACAGCAAGUGCAAAAAUCUUAAGGCGGAAAUAAGCUAAAUAAUGUUCGAGGAGCAGCAAAAAGUUCGUUGUAGCUGGAGCAGAUGGAGUAAAAGGACAGAACGAUAAAGGAUGAGACUGGAGAGGUGGACAGGGCUGUAUCAUACACCUUGAGGUUCAUAGUAAUGACUUUGAGUUUUAUUUUAUGUCACUGAAAGAUUUUAAACUGAAGAGUGAUGUGAUCAAAGUUAUGUUUCGAAAGAUCACUCUGCUAGAUAGAGAACUAUGGGCAAGCAAGAGUGGAGACAUGGAGAGCUAUUAAGAGGUGAUUGGAACAAUCCAGAUGAGAGAUUAUUUGAUGCUCGAACUAAGGAGGUAGCAGCAAAGAUCAGGUAGAUGGAUUUACGGUAUGUUUUGGGAGUACAGUUGCCGGUAUUUCCUGAAGGAUUCAACGUAGAAAGUAAGAAUAAGAAAUGAAUCCAGAAUAACUUCCAGGAGUCUGUCUUCAGCAACCGGAUGGAUGAUGGUGCCAUUCAGUGAAUGAAAGGUUUGAUGAGGCUGAGGGUGGGGAAUCCACAGGUUUUUUUCUGUCGAGGUUAAUUUGAGGGUUUUGUGCGCUAUCCCAGAGGAUAAGUCAAGUUGUGGUGCAGACCUGAUUGUCAUCUUUAUUGGCCAUAUGCCUACAGUACAUUCCUCAGCCCCCUAAAGUAGGUGUGGCCACGUGCCUGUGCUCUCCCCAACGGAAAGUGUACAGAAGAGAUGUGCCCAGUUUCCAGGCUUGGCCCAGAAAAUUCGUCAACAGGUGCUCCUACUUACCCUGCCAGCUGGACGAUUCUGGUUCUGGAGAAGGCACAGCCUCAAGAUGGAAGAUUCCUAAGUGGAGAACAUUUGCCCCCAUUGACCUAUGUGUCCACCCAGGACUGUUCUAUGAGAAACAGAAAUAAACCUUUAUUGUUUUGA
This is a long non-coding RNA of Acinonyx jubatus (cheetah), 1557 nucleotides long. RefSeq lists it as uncharacterized. NCBI's taxonomy places the organism in Eukaryota, Metazoa, Chordata, Mammalia, Carnivora, Felidae. The transcript is spliced from 2 exons. The record is from RefSeq and is a predicted model, not a curated record.